CUCCUGGGCAGAGGGCUGCCUUCUGUGUGGGCUUGCCCCUCGCCACACCUGGCCAGGAGCCUCCCCCAGCCCCGUGACCCUUGUGUCAGAGCCUGGCCAGAUGACAGACGGCCUGGGGUGCAGGCGAGACCCACUGAACUGGCAGCUGAGGACAGGUCCAGGCCCAGUGGCUGGGGGACUUCUCAGAGCAGGUACCACAACAGCUACCCAAGGACUCAGGACUUUUCUCCCACAGCCAGACUUGGUGAUUGCAUGAAGGAGCCCAGCCUCGGAUG
Molecule: long non-coding RNA, 275 nt
Filed under: Homo sapiens (human)
Lineage: Eukaryota; Metazoa; Chordata; Mammalia; Primates; Hominidae
Description: LHRI_LNC1136.1
Source: RNAcentral